Molecule: unclassified non-coding RNA, 418 nt
Filed under: Hevea brasiliensis (rubber tree)
Lineage: Eukaryota; Viridiplantae; Streptophyta; Magnoliopsida; Malpighiales; Euphorbiaceae
Source: RNAcentral
UCAGAUGCCUGACUUAAUAGACACGGGAGUUCCCACCAUCAUAACUAUCUCCAAAUAGGUCAUCAAUUAAAUUUGUUGUGGGCAUUGUCAGAUUUGCCGUCUUCUCAUCAAUUGGCUCCUUUAUAGAAUCAUUUGUUUCAAAGAAAUCAUUUGAAUCUCCCGUGUCUAUUAAGUCAGGCAUCUGAACAGAAGCGGUCUCAUCCUUAACUGACUUUUCUGAAUUUCCCAUAAAGGGACCUGCCCGUUCCCCACCCAAAAGGCUCAAUACCUUCGUAGACUUUUCCCUUAGAGAAGAUUGAGGAGACUCAGUACAUCUGACAACAGUAUCCUUAUUUUCACAGAAGUAUGAAGUUACAAUUGAAAAAUGCUCAUCAUCCCUUUUCCUCAGUAUUGACUCAAGCACACACACAGCUUUCAU